UACGUAGGGUGCAAGCGUUGUCCGGAAUUAUUGGGCGUAAAGAGCUCGUAGGCGGUUUGUCGCGUCUGCUGUGAAAACCCGAGGCUCAACCUCGGGCCUGCAGUGGGUACGGGCAGACUAGAGUGCGGUAGGGGAGAUUGGAAUUCCUGGUGUAGCGGUGGAAUGCGCAGAUAUCAGGAGGAACACCAAUGGCGAAGGCAGAUCUCUGGGCCGUAACUGACGCUGAGGAGCGAAAGCAUGGGGAGCGAGCAGG
Molecule: ribosomal RNA, 253 nt
Filed under: uncultured bacterium
Lineage: Bacteria
Description: partial 16S ribosomal RNA
Rfam family: Bacterial small subunit ribosomal RNA
Source: RNAcentral